GGGGUUAUGGCUCGGUGGCAGAGUGCUUGCCUAGCAUGUGUGAGGCACUGGGUUCGAUCCUCAGCACCCCCA
This 72-nucleotide transfer RNA is filed under the name Ictidomys tridecemlineatus (thirteen-lined ground squirrel). RNAcentral's name for it is "Spermophilus tridecemlineatus (thirteen-lined ground squirrel) tRNA". It matches the Rfam family "tRNA". From Rfam's summary of the family: Transfer RNA (tRNA) molecules are approximately 80 nucleotides in length. The record is from Rfam by way of RNAcentral. Lineage: Eukaryota; Metazoa; Chordata; Mammalia; Rodentia; Sciuridae.